This 194-nucleotide ribosomal RNA is filed under the name uncultured eukaryote. Its description in RNAcentral is "partial 18S ribosomal RNA". It matches the Rfam family "Eukaryotic small subunit ribosomal RNA", at positions 1 to 186 of the family's 1831-position model. The record is from RNAcentral.
GGAACCUGGUUGAUCCUGCCAGUAGUCAUAUGCUUGUUUCAAGGACUAAGCCAUGCAUGCCUCAGAAUAACUGCUAUGCAGGAGUCUGCGCAUGGCUCAUUACAUCAGACGCAAUCUGCCGCAAAAAUGUUGCGGAAACGCAUUAUUGGAUACCUUGUGCGAAACGCCAAGCUAAUACAUGAACUAAUGGGAUC